RNAcentral lists this ribosomal RNA (490 nucleotides) under Neisseriaceae bacterium 'ARUP UnID 353'. Its description in RNAcentral is "bacterial SSU rRNA". It matches the Rfam family "Bacterial small subunit ribosomal RNA", at positions 27 to 506 of the family's 1533-position model. The record is from RNAcentral. Lineage: Bacteria; Pseudomonadati; Pseudomonadota; Betaproteobacteria; Neisseriales; Neisseriaceae.
GAUUGAACGCUGGCGGCAUGCUUUACACAUGCAAGUCGAACGGCAGCGAGGUAGUGCUUGCACUACUGUCGGCGAGUGGCGAACGGGUGAGUAAUAUAUUGGAACGUACCGAGUAAUGGGGGAUAACUAUCCGAAAGGAUAGCUAAUACCGCAUACGACCUGAGGGUGAAAGUGGGGGAUCUUCGGACCUCGCGUUAUUCGAGCGGCCAAUAUCUGAUUAGGUAGUUGGUGGGGUAAGAGCCUACCAAGCCGACGAUCAGUAGUGGGUCUUAGAGGAUGAUCCGCCACACUGGGACUGAGACACGGCCCAGACUCCUACGGGAGGCAGCAGUGGGGAAUUUUGGACAAUGGGCGAAAGCCUGAUCCAGCCAUGCCGCGUGUCUGAAGAAGGCCUUCGGGUUGUAAAGGACUUUUGUUAGGGAAGAAAAGGUUGAUGCUAAUAUCAUUAACUGAUGACGGUACCUAAAGAAUAAGCACCGGCUAACUACGU